AGAUAAUAGAUACCCCGGUAGUCCACGCCCUAAACGAUCCGAACUGGCUAUAAGGAGUAUCGACCCUCUUUGUGGCGAAAGCUAAACGCGUUAAGUUCGGCGCCUGGGUAGUACGGCCGCAAGGCUAAAACUCAAAGGAAUAGACGGGGACUUGCACAAGCGGUGGAUCAUGCGGCUCAAUUCGAUGACAAACGAAGAACCUCACCAGGGUUUGAAACCCAGACGAAAGUCCUAGGAAACUAGGACCCUCGCAAGACGGCUGGGCAGGUGAUGCAUGGUCGUCGUCAGUUCGUGGCUUGAGUUGUUCCCUUCAGUGGGGUAACGAACGCAACCCUCGUUGCCUGUUUUAUUAGUCAGGCGAGACUGCCCCCUCACGGGGGAGGAAGGUGAGGAUGACGCCAGAUCAGCAUGUCCCUCUGAUAUCCUGGGCUGCACGCAUGAUACAAUGGACGAGACAACGGGUCGCGACGGGGUAACCCUGAGCUAAUCCUUAUAACUCGUCCCCAGUUCGGAUUGAGGUCUGCAACUCGACCUCAUGAAGCCGGAAUC
RNAcentral lists this ribosomal RNA (549 nucleotides) under uncultured bacterium. RNAcentral describes it as "bacterial SSU rRNA". It matches the Rfam family "Bacterial small subunit ribosomal RNA", at positions 775 to 1333 of the family's 1533-position model. The record is from RNAcentral.